UGGAUUAUCUACCUCUUUGUGGGGGAUAACCCUGGGAAACCGGGGCUAAUACCGCAUAAGUCCGAGAGGAGAAAGCAGCAAUGCGCAGAGAGAGGAGUCCGCGGCCGAUUACGUUAGUUGGCAGGGUAAAAGCCUACCAAGACAAAGAUCGGUAGCCGGCCUGAGAGGGCACACGGCCACACUGGCACUGAAACACGGGCCAGACUCCUACGGGAGGCAA
RNAcentral lists this ribosomal RNA (220 nucleotides) under uncultured bacterium. RNAcentral's name for it is "partial 16S ribosomal RNA". It matches the Rfam family "Bacterial small subunit ribosomal RNA", at positions 118 to 350 of the family's 1533-position model. The record is from RNAcentral.